GAAGUUAGAUAGUAGAGAGUAUACUUUGGCCUCCACUCCAAUCUACUCUCCACACAGAAGACAAAGAUGUUAAAAAAAAAAGAAAGAAAGAAAAGAAAUCUGAGCUCUUCUUUUAGACUCGAAAUGGUCUAAUGGUUUUUCAUGGGAAAAUGAAAUUCAACUCCUAGUAUGGCCUUCAAAGUUCCUCCUGAUUUGGUGUCUGCCACCUUUCAGCCUCGGAAAGUCUCCUCAAAAGUGACAUCAUUUCUGGGGAGGCUUAACUACGAAGUGGAAAAUACAGAGGACCUGCCAGCUCGUGGAGGCUGAAUGACAGUCAGAGACAAGGAGGGGAAAAUUCUUUCAGUUCCUCUGUGGAAUGCAGAAAUCACAGCUAGCGCACCAGUAACCAAACUGGACCAAGAAGCAGAUUUGAGAUUAGAAGUUAAAGGAUAAAGAUGGAAGGAGAAAAUCCUUUGCACUCAUCCUUUUCCACCUGGGCUCAGUAGAGAUGGUUCCCUUCCAGAAGAGUAGUGAGAAGAAGGGCUGCGCAGUCACCAACAAAGAGGAAGCUGUUUGCUUUAUGUCCACCUGAUGAAAAUGAGGAAAGAGGCUAUAUGGCAAGCAAACAACACUUGGGUGGACUUGAACAUGCCCCACUUGGCAUCAGUUGAAUCAUAACUGUAGGUGAAAGAAGGAAGAAAUUCCAUUCCCUCAGGUAGCUUGCUUAAAUCCAGAGAAACCAAAGCAGAACUAAUCCAGAUAGAAAUUGGGACUUGCGAAGUCAUUUUCCGAGCACUGUGGCAGUAGUGGCAGAAGGGUACUAGCUUCUUAAGCCAUUUCACGGAUUAGGUUUCACUAGAUCACCGAAAAAAACAAGGCAAAUGCUUCUGAACACUACAACCAUAGGAAGAAGCCUUCACAUUUUAUAUAAAACAGUUACCAAAACAUUGUCCUGAACACCUAAUUGUCCCUGUCAAAAGUCUGUGUUCAAAGUCCUUAGGAGUUCAAGGUCAGAGGUUUAAAAAAACAAAAAAAACCUUGCCACUAUUUUAGAAUUGGUAUAUGACCUUGUAGACAGAAAUAAUAAUGAUAUAACUUAUGAAAGGUCCCUAGAAAUAUUUUCCAAAAGGCAUCAGAGAUCCUUAUAAGAUGGCCUUUAAUGAUAUUUACCUUCUCUAAGGUGAAUUUGUGACUAUUACUUGUAAACAAGAAUAUCUGUCCUAGUUACAGACAUGAAUUUCCAUUUUAUCUACCUAUGAGAAUGCCCAAAUUUGUAAAUGAGACAGAGGCCAUGUUUUUGCUGGUUUUGUUCCCAAGUCUGACUUGAAAAGCAUCUGGGAUUCUCUCACAGCAUCACGACAACCAUUGAUAUCUAGCUUUGUGGGUGCUGUGAGGUAGGGGGGACAGACACCUGUUGUGUUGGUGAGUAACGUAUCAGACACUACGAGUUUCAUUAGCUAGCAAUAACCAGGUUACUUCCUGAUCCCAGGGACUUCCUGUCAGGGAGUGGCAAUGAGGUUCUAGAGCUGGUAGCUGAAGAAGGUUUCACAAUUCAGCAGGCAGUUUUUGGGUCACAGAGCAAGGAGCAUAUGCCUUGGAUGUCUGUGUUGUGACUUUGGAUGUUGUUCAUCAAAUAAAUCUAGAUCAUUUCUCCAAUCUUCCCAAAGACUCUAUAAUCCAAUUAA
Talpa occidentalis (Iberian mole) is the source of this 1664-nucleotide long non-coding RNA. RefSeq lists it as uncharacterized. NCBI's taxonomy places the organism in Eukaryota, Metazoa, Chordata, Mammalia, Eulipotyphla, Talpidae. The transcript is spliced from 4 exons. The record is from RefSeq and is a predicted model, not a curated record.